This 21-nucleotide small nuclear RNA is filed under the name Arabidopsis thaliana (thale cress). RNAcentral describes it as "snRNA_08471". The record is from RNAcentral. Lineage: Eukaryota; Viridiplantae; Streptophyta; Magnoliopsida; Brassicales; Brassicaceae.
GACUAUAUUCAGAUGUCUUUG